UCCAAGUUCAGACAGAGGGGGGAGGCAGAUCGCUAUGAUCGCCAGGAACUUUAGUUUUAGUGUCUUUUUUUAAUUGUUGCGCUACUGGUGCUGCCUGUUGAUGUUAGGUAGGCAGCUACAGUAGCUGAAUGAUGUUAACAUCUUCGAGUUUUGUUUCAUUAAAUGUAUUUUAUUUCAUCUGGGUGCUUGUGUCACCUACUAACACCCUGGUACUACCCGUAGCUCCCGUUCUCCUCAGUCGGAGAAAACACAGAGAGAAAGAACAACUUGCCAGAUGGUGCAUUGGAGACUGAUGUGUUCCUGUCCUGUCUUUUCACAAUACUAUUGCAGAUCAACAUAAAAGCCUAAAAGACAGCCGUGGUAUCGCUCUUCAUUUCUUGGUUCUCCUGUGGUACAUAAGAAACCCGCUACAUAAGCACGAUUGAAUAUAACACCAUAAAAGAUGUAGCCUGGCAAAAGCAACUGACAUGGGCUGCACGUCAUCCAGGCUACCCAUCAGAGGACCCAGAGGACUUGCAGGUGACCAAGCGUUUCCAGGCCUUCUGGACUCCCCAGAAGAAGUCCCGGAUGCCUUUCCUCAUCUUGGAUAAUUUAACUGGCAAGAAGAUGAAAAUAUGUAAGAAUUUCAGAUGGACAAUUGUCUGAUAAAACAAUAAUUUAUUACUUCUAUAUAUAUAUAUAUAUAUAAUUGUCCCAUAAGAACAUUUCCCCCCAGGAAUACUCACUCAUAGGUGGAGAAUCCACAGCAAUGUACAUCUCUGGCUGGUUUGUAGUGUCUGUAAGGACGAUGCUCACGUUGGACUGUGAUCAGAAUUCAAGAAUGCACAAUUAAACUUCAAUUUCACUUCCUUUA
This is a long non-coding RNA of Oncorhynchus kisutch (coho salmon), 853 nucleotides long. RefSeq lists it as uncharacterized. The record is from RefSeq and is a predicted model, not a curated record. The transcript is spliced from 3 exons. Lineage: Eukaryota; Metazoa; Chordata; Actinopteri; Salmoniformes; Salmonidae.